CCGUCGUACCCGCAAAUUCGUCAACAUUUCAUGAGCGCGGGAGCAUCAAAUGAUGCUCUCAAAUGCUGCUCUGCUCUCCAGCCUCGCCUCGCGGCUAAUGUGAGUUGAAGUGUGUGAAAUCUUUGCGAAAUUAUAAGCUACAGGGCAGGGUAGGCAGCAGUGCCUGCUGCCAGAAACACGACUGUGAACAACUGUGAGCAAUGCCACCAACACCAGAGAAUCAACCGCCACAUCCAGCAUCCAACAUUCAACAUCCAGAGUGUGCCCAGUGGGCAACAACGACAAUUGUCAGGCUUGUAGCGCAAAUUAUGAAAAAAUGUCAGUGGCGAGUGGGCGAUGCGAUAGAAACGAAACCAAUGCCCAUGGUGGAGGGAGACGGGAUGGUCUGUGGAUGGAGAAACCCAGAACCUGGCUGGCCACGCGAUCAGAGCAGUUGUUUAGUGCUGUCGCCGCUAACUGCCAGCCAGAUACUGCAACUGCCACUGCCACUGCCACAGCCACAGCCAUAGGAUACGGAUACACAGAUACUCGUAUUUAUACAAACAAAUGCUCAUUGCCAGCAUUAGAUUAGAUAGUUUGUCUUCGAUUGUGUCGAAUGGCAGCCGCGGGGCCAAUUGCCAAUGUCUUUGGCUUUGGCUUUGGCUUUUUGGCGCUGCUUUAUAUCCUACAACAUUGACAACAACUUCAUUGGCCAAAGCCCGCAGAGAGGAGAUGGAGAUCGAGUUGGAGAUGGAGAUGCAGCAGGAGAUGUAGAUUAAAAUCUAGAUCAAGAUGGUAGCGAAUCCAUGUAGCAGAUUGAAGAUUUCCAUUGAUAUGCGCGACUGAUGUUGCCCCGUCCAAAG
Molecule: long non-coding RNA, 842 nt
Organism: Drosophila guanche
Lineage: Eukaryota; Metazoa; Arthropoda; Insecta; Diptera; Drosophilidae
Exons: 3
Source: RefSeq, a predicted model, not a curated record